GGGGAUAACACUUGGAAACAGGUGCUAAUACCGCAUAAUAGUCGACACCGCAUGGUGUUGAUUUGAAAGACGCUUUCGGGUGUUACUGAUGGAUGGACCCGCGGUGCAUUAGCUAGUUGGUGAGGUAACGGCUCACCAAGGCGAUGAUGCAUAGCCGACCUGAGAGGGUGAUCGGCCACACUGGGACUGAGACACGGCCCAGACUCCUACGGGAGGCAGCAGUAGGGAAUCUUCGGCAAUGGACGAAAGUCUGACCGAGCAACGCCGCGUGAGUGAAGAAGGUUUUCGGAUCGUAAAACUCUGUUGUUAGAGAAGAACAAGUAGGAGAGUAACUGCUCUUACCUUGACGGUAUCUAACCAGAAAGCCACGGCUAACUACGUGCCAGCAGCCGCGGUAAUACGUAGGUGGCAAGCGUUGUCCGGAUUUAUUGGGCGUAAAGCGAGCGCAGGCGGUUUCUUAAGUCUGAUGUGAAAGCCCCCGGCUCAACUGGGGAGGGUCAUUGGAAACUGGGAGACUUGAGUGCARAAGAGGAGAGUGGAAUUCCAUGUGUAGCGGUGAAAUGCGUANAUAUAUGGAGGA
RNAcentral lists this ribosomal RNA (580 nucleotides) under uncultured bacterium. Its description in RNAcentral is "bacterial SSU rRNA". It matches the Rfam family "Bacterial small subunit ribosomal RNA", at positions 139 to 705 of the family's 1533-position model. The record is from RNAcentral.